RNAcentral lists this ribosomal RNA (254 nucleotides) under uncultured bacterium. RNAcentral's name for it is "partial 16S ribosomal RNA". It matches the Rfam family "Bacterial small subunit ribosomal RNA", at positions 524 to 776 of the family's 1533-position model. The record is from RNAcentral.
UACGAGAGGUCCAAACGUUAUUCGGAAUUACUGGGCUUACAGAGUUCGUAGGCGGUCUGUCGCGUCGGCUGUGAAAACCCGGAGCUCAACUCCGGGCCUGCAGUCGAUACGGGCAAACUGGAGUGUUGGCAGGGGAGACUGGAAUUCCUGGUGUAGCGGUGAAAUGCGCAGAUAUCAGGAGGAACACCGGUGGCGAAGGCGGGUCUCUGGGCCGAUACUGACGCUGAGGAGCGAAAGCGUGGGGAGCGAACAGG